AGGGCGCAUGGUGAAUGCCUUGGCACUAGGAGCCGAAGAAGGACGCGAUAAGCUGCGAUAAGCCUUGGGUAGCCGCAAAUAGGCUGAGAUCCAGGGAUUUCCGAAUGAGGAAACUCACAUGGGUAACCCCAUGUAUUAUGCACUGAAUACAUAGGUGUAUAAGGGUAAACCCGGGGAACUGAAACAUCUAAGUACCCGGAGGAAGAGAAAGAAAAAUCGAUUUCCUAAGUAGCGGCGAGCGAACGGGAAAGAGCCCAAACCAGAAACUUGUUUCUGGGGUUGUGGAUAGAUCAUAAAAGAAGAGGUAUCUUAAUCGAAGAGGGCUGGAACGCCCUACCAUAGAAGGUAAUAGUCCUGUAGGUAAAAAGAGAAAACUUUAAGAUCUAAUCCAGAGUACCACGAGACACGUGAAACCUUGUGGGAAGCAGGGAGGACCACCUCCCAAGGCUAAAUACUACCUAGUGACCGAUAGUGAAGCAGUACCGUGAGGGAAAGGUGAAAAGAACCCCGGAAGGGGAGUGAAAUAGAACCUGAAACCGUGUGCCUACAACCGAUCGGAGCACGUUAAAGUGUGACGAUGUGCUUUUUGUAGAACGAGCCAGCGAGUUACGCUAUGUAGCAAGGUUAAGUACUUAAGGUAUGGAGCCGAAGGGAAACCGAGUCUGAAAAGGGCGAAAAGUUGCAUGGUGUAGACCCGAAACCGGGUGACCUAUCCAUGGCCAGGUUGAAGCGAGAGUAAAAUCUCGUGGAGGACCGAACCACGUUGGUGUUGAAAAACCAUGGGAUGAGCUGUGGAUAGCGGAGAAAUUCCAAUCGAACUCGGAGAUAGCUGGUUCUCCUCGAAAUAGCUUUAGGGCUAGCGUCGUGUAAUUGAGUAAUGGAGGUAGAGCACUGAAUGGGCUAGGGGCUAUAGUAGUUACCGAACCCUAUCAAACUCCGAAUGCCAUAUACUUGUAUCACGGCAGUCAGACUGCGAAUGAUAAGAUCCGUAGUCAAAAGGGAAACAGCCCAGACCAUCAGCUAAGGUCCCAAAGUGUAAGUUAAGUGGAAAAGGAUGUGGGAUUUCUAAGACAACUAGGAUGUUGGCUUAGAAGCAGCCACUCAUUUAAAGAGUGCGUAAUAGCUCACUAGUCAAGAGAUCCUGCGCCGAAGAUGUCCGGGGCUCAAACUUACCACCGAAGCUAUGGGUGUACACUAUGUGUACGCGGUAGAGGAGCUUUCUGUAUGGGUUGAAGUCGUACCGUAAGGAGCGGUGGACUGUACAGAAGUGAGAAUGCUGGCAUAAGUAGCGAGAAAUAAGUGAGAAUCUUAUUGGCCGAAAACCUAAGGUUUCCUGAGGAAGGUUCGUCCGCUCAGGGUUAGUCGGGACCUAAGCCGAGGCCGAAAGGCGUAGGUGAUGGACAAUCGGUUGAUAUUCCGAUACCACCUAUUUACGUUUGAGAAAUGGGGUGACGCAGUAGGAUAAGAUGUGCGCACUAUUGGAUGUGCGUCUAAGCACUUAGGCAUGCUUGAUAGGCAAAUCCGUCGAGCUAAGCUGAGGUGUGAUGGGGAGCCAUUUAUGGCGAAGUAUCUGAUUCCACACUGCCAAGAAAAGCCUCUAUCGAGUGAAUAGGUGCCCGUACCGCAAACCGACACAGGUAGGUGAGGAGAGAAUCCUAAGGCCAUCGGAAGAAUUGCUGUUAAGGAACUCGGCAAAUUGACCCCGUAACUUCGGGAGAAGGGGUGCCUACGAAAGUAGGCCGCAGAGAAUAGGCCCAAGCAACUGUUUAGCAAAAACACAGGUCUCUGCUAAAGCGAAAGCUGAUGUAUAGGGGCUGACGCCUGCCCGGUGCUGGAAGGUUAAGGGGAACACUUAGCGUAAGCGAAGGUGUGAACUUAAGCCCCAGUAAACGGCGGCCGUAACUAUAACGGUCCUAAGGUAGCGAAAUUCCUUGUCGGGUAAGUUCCGACCCGCACGAAUGGCGUAAUGAUUUGGGCACUGUCUCAACAGCAAAUCCGGCGAAAUUGUAGUGCAAGUGAAGAUGCUUGCUACCCGCGAUUGGACGGAAAGACCCCGUAGAGCUUUACUGUAGCUUAGCAUUGAAUCUCGGUAUUGUCUGUACAGGAUAGGUGGGAGACUUGGAAACUUGGGCGUCAGCCUGAGUGGAGUCAUCCUUGGGAUACCACCCUGACAGUACUGGGGUUCUAACCGGCGGCCAUGAAUCUGGUCACGGGACAUUGUUAGGUGGGCAGUUUGACUGGGGCGGUCGCCUCCUAAAAAGUAACGGAGGCGCCCAAAAGUUCCCUCAGCGCGGUCGGAAAUCGCGCGAAGAGUGCAAAGGCAGAAGGGAGCUUGACUGCGA
This 2342-nucleotide ribosomal RNA is filed under the name Clostridium botulinum. RNAcentral describes it as "bacterial LSU rRNA". It matches the Rfam family "Bacterial large subunit ribosomal RNA", at positions 14 to 2378 of the family's 2925-position model. The record is from RNAcentral. Lineage: Bacteria; Bacillati; Bacillota; Clostridia; Eubacteriales; Clostridiaceae.